GUGGGGAAUAUUGCACAAUGGGGGAAACCCUGAUGCAGCAACGCCGCGUGAGUGAUGAAGGCCUUCGGGUUGUAAAGCUCUGUCUUUGGGGACGAUAAUGACGGUACCCAAGGAGGAAGCCACGGCUAACUACGUGCCAGCAGCCGCGGUAAUACGUAGGUGGCAAGCGUUGUCCGGAUUUACUGGGCGUAAAGGGAGCGUAGGUGGAUAUUUAAGUGGGAUGUGAAAUACCUGGGCUUAACCUGGGUGCUGCAUUCCAAACUGGAUGUCUAGAGUGCAGGAGAGGAGAGUGGAAUUCCUAGUGUAGCGGUGAAAUGCGUAGAGAUUAGGAAGAACACCAGUGGCGAAGGCUAUUCUCUGGACUGUAACUGACGCUGAGGCUCGAAAGCGUGGGGAGCAAACAGGAUUAGAAACCCCAGUAGUCC
Molecule: ribosomal RNA, 425 nt
Filed under: uncultured bacterium
Lineage: Bacteria
Description: partial 16S ribosomal RNA
Rfam family: Bacterial small subunit ribosomal RNA
Source: RNAcentral